UAGAUAUAGAAAAUUAGGCCUCCAAAAACCAACUUCCAAGAGAUUCCUCUGAGAAGCUUCGCCAUGAGAAACAAGAUCAGCUGGCACUGCACUCAUUAAAAUGGGACAUUCUGAUAAGGACCUCAACGUCUCAUAGGAAGAAGUGGAGAGAGAAUAAGCCCAGGAAAUUGGGAGGAUCUGUUCAGCAGAGCUACAUGAAAGCCCUGACCGAGGCCAUUUGCUCCUUCCGGUAUUCCAUGCCAGUAAGCAGAGCCAG
This 256-nucleotide long non-coding RNA is filed under the name Callithrix jacchus (white-tufted-ear marmoset). Its description in RNAcentral is "lncRNA (ENSCJAG00000086323.1)". The record is from RNAcentral. Lineage: Eukaryota; Metazoa; Chordata; Mammalia; Primates; Cebidae.